UACGUAGGGUGCAAGCGUUAAUCGGAAUUACUGGGCGUAAAGCGUGCGCAGGCGGUCGCGUAAGCCAGAUGUGAAAUCCCCGGGCUCAACUUGGGAACUGCAUUUGGUACUGCGUGGCUGGAGUGCGGCAGAGGAAGGUGGAAGUCCUGGUGUAGCAGUGAAAUGCGUAGAGAUCAGGAGGAACACCGAUGGCGAAGGCAGCCUUCUGGGCCAGCACUGACGCUCAUGCACGAAAGCGUGGGGAGCAAACAGG
Molecule: ribosomal RNA, 253 nt
Filed under: uncultured bacterium
Lineage: Bacteria
Description: partial 16S ribosomal RNA
Rfam family: Bacterial small subunit ribosomal RNA
Source: RNAcentral